RNAcentral lists this ribosomal RNA (538 nucleotides) under Salmonella enterica. Its description in RNAcentral is "bacterial SSU rRNA". It matches the Rfam family "Bacterial small subunit ribosomal RNA", at positions 565 to 1102 of the family's 1533-position model. Lineage: Bacteria; Pseudomonadati; Pseudomonadota; Gammaproteobacteria; Enterobacterales; Enterobacteriaceae. The record is from RNAcentral.
GCGCACGCAGGCGGUCUGUCAAGUCGGAUGUGAAAUCCCCGGGCUCAACCUGGGAACUGCAUUCGAAACUGGCAGGCUUGAGUCUUGUAGAGGGGGGUAGAAUUCCAGGUGUAGCGGUGAAAUGCGUAGAGAUCUGGAGGAAUACCGGUGGCGAAGGCGGCCCCCUGGACAAAGACUGACGCUCAGGUGCGAAAGCGUGGGGAGCAAACAGGAUUAGAUACCCUGGUAGUCCACGCCGUAAACGAUGUCUACUUGGAGGUUGUGCCCUUGAGGCGUGGCUUCCGGAGCUAACGCGUUAAGUAGACCGCCUGGGGAGUACGGCCGCAAGGUUAAAACUCAAAUGAAUUGACGGGGGCCCGCACAAGCGGUGGAGCAUGUGGUUUAAUUCGAUGCAACGCGAAGAACCUUACCUGGUCUUGACAUCCACAGAAGAAUCCAGAGAUGGAUUUGUGCCUUCGGGAACUGUGAGACAGGUGCUGCAUGGCUGUCGUCAGCUCGUGUUGUGAAAUGUUGGGUUAAGUCCCGCAACGAGCGCAAC